ACUCCGCUUGUGCUCUGGGAAGGAGAAGGGCGUGUUUCCGCUUGCUCCUCCGCCAUGGCUCGUGGUCCCAAGAAACACCUGAAGCGUGUGGCGGCCCCACGCCACUGGAUGCUGGACAAACUGACCGGUGUGUUCGCGCCCCGUCCGUCUGCCGGCCCGCACCGCCUGCGGGAGUGCCUGCCGCUCGCCAUCUUCCUGAGGAACAGGCUCAAGUACGCCCUGACCGGCGACGAGGUGAAGAAGAUCUGCAUGCAGCGGCUCAUUAAGGUCGACGGCAAGGUCAGAACCGAUGUGGCCUACCCAGCUGGCUUCAUGGAUGUCAUCAGCAUCGACAAGAGCGGCGAGAACUUCCGCCUCGUCUACGACACCAAGGGCCGCUUCGCGGUACACCGCAUCACGCCCGAGGAGGCCAAGUACAAGCUGUGCAAGGUGAGGAAAGUCUUCGUGGGUACCAAGGGCAUCCCGCACCUCGUCACGCACGACGCGCGUACCAUCCGCUACCCUGACCCGCUCAUCAAGGUCAACGACACCGUGCAGAUCUCGCUAGACAGCGGAAAAAUCACCGAUGCCAUCAAGUUUGAUACCGGCAACCUGUGCAUGGUAACCGGAGGCGCCAACCUGGGUCGCAUCGGCGUCAUCACCAACCGCGAGCGCCACCCCGGCUCCUUUGACGUGGUCCACGUGAAAGAUGCCAACGGCAAUGGCUUCGCUACCCGCCUCUCCAACAUCUUCGUGAUCGGGAAGGGCAACAAGCCGUGGAUCUCCCUUCCCCGGGGAAAAGGAAUCCGCCUCACCAUUGCCGAAGAGAGAGACAAGAGGCUGGCGGCCAAGCAGAGCGGGUGAAGUGGACUCUGAGGGACAUUGCGGGGAAGGGGCGUUUACGUUUGUUUAUACUUAAAAGUUUUUUAAGCAGCAUGUUGAAUUAAAAAAGAAAGCAAGCU
This is an RNA transcript of Mus musculus (house mouse), 941 nucleotides long. It is a transcript of the gene named ribosomal protein S4-like, with no coding region annotated. The record is from RefSeq and is marked provisional. Lineage: Eukaryota; Metazoa; Chordata; Mammalia; Rodentia; Muridae. The transcript has a single exon.